Molecule: transfer RNA, 48 nt
Filed under: Tetranychus urticae (two-spotted spider mite)
Lineage: Eukaryota; Metazoa; Arthropoda; Arachnida; Trombidiformes; Tetranychidae
Description: tRNA-Val
Source: RNAcentral
CUCUAAUUUUAUUAAAAAUAAAAUUUACAAUUUUAAUUUUAUUAGAAA